UGCAAGUCGAUCGGUAACAGGUGUAGCAAUACAUGCUGACGAGAGGCGGACGGGUGAGCAAUGUUUGGGAAUCUGCCUAUUAGUGGGGGAUAACCCGGGGAAACUCGGGCUAAUACCGCAUACGCUUUACGAAGGAAAGCCGGGGACCGCAAGGCCUGGCGCUAAUAGAUGAGCCCAAAUCGGAUUAGCUAGUUGGUGAGGUAACGGCUCACCAAGGCGACGAUCCGUAGCUGGUUUGAGAGAACGACCAGCCACACCGGAACUGAGACACGGUCCGGACUCCUACGGGAGGCAGCAGUGGGGAAUAUUGGACAAUGGGCGAAAGCCUGAUCCAGCGACGCCGCGUGGGUGAAGAAGGCCUGCGGGUUGUAAAGCCCUUUCGGUUGGGAAGAAAAGUGUCGACCUAACACGUCGGUACCUUGACGUAACCAACAAAAGAAGCACCGGCUAACUCUGUGCCAGCAGCCGCGGUAAUACAGAGGGUGCAAGCGUUAAUCGGAAUUACUGGGCGUAAAGCGCGCGUAGGCGGCUUGACAAGUCGAGUGUGAAAUCCCCGGGCUUAACCUGGGAGCUGCAUUCGAAACUGUCUUGCUAGAGUAUGGGAGAGGGAAGUGGAAUUUCAGGUGUAGCGGUGAAAUGCGUAGAUAUCUGAAGGAACAUCAGUGGCGAAAGCGACUUCCUGGACCAAUACUGACGCUCAGGUGCGAAAGCGUGGGGAGCAAACAGGAUUAGAUACCCUGGUAGUCCACGCCAUAAACGAUGAGAACUGGAUGUUGGGAG
Molecule: ribosomal RNA, 780 nt
Filed under: uncultured Gammaproteobacteria bacterium
Lineage: Bacteria; Pseudomonadati; Pseudomonadota; Gammaproteobacteria
Description: bacterial SSU rRNA
Rfam family: Bacterial small subunit ribosomal RNA
Source: RNAcentral